Molecule: unclassified non-coding RNA, 241 nt
Filed under: plant metagenome
Description: partial contains small subunit ribosomal RNA, internal transcribed spacer 1, and 5.8S ribosomal RNA
Source: RNAcentral
UUUCCGUGGGUGAACCUGCGGAAGGAUCAUUAUUGAAUGAAACACUUCUGGCUUUAUGCUGUUGUGCUGGCCCUUUGGGCAAUGUGCACACGGCUCUGGUCACUUGUUUCUUCUGUUCCACCUGUGCACUGCCUGUAGACACGCUGUGUCUAUGAUAUUUGUUAACACACAACAAUGUUAGUUAGCAUGUUAUAUAUAAUAAUAAAAUAUACAACUUUCAACAACGGAUCUCUUGGCUCUC